Molecule: ribosomal RNA, 716 nt
Filed under: Staphylococcus sp. X47-CRBM-E14
Lineage: Bacteria; Bacillati; Bacillota; Bacilli; Caryophanales; Staphylococcaceae
Description: bacterial SSU rRNA
Rfam family: Bacterial small subunit ribosomal RNA
Source: RNAcentral
UGCAGUCGAGCGAACGGAUAAGGAGCUUGCUCCUUUGAAGUUAGCGGCGGACGGGUGAGUAACACGUGGGUAACCUACCUAUAAGACUGGAAUAACUUCGGGAAACCGGAGCUAAUGCCGGAUAACAUUUGGAACCGCAUGGUUCUAAAGUAAAAGAUGGUUUUGCUAUCACUUAUAGAUGGACCCGCGCCGUAUUAGCUAGUUGGUAAGGUAACGGCUUACCAAGGCAACGAUACGUAGCCGACCUGAGAGGGUGAUCGGCCACACUGGAACUGAGACACGGUCCAGACUCCUACGGGAGGCAGCAGUAGGGAAUCUUCCGCAAUGGACGAAAGUCUGACGGAGCAACGCCGCGUGAGUGAUGAAGGUUUUCGGAUCGUAAAACUCUGUUAUUAGGGAAGAACAAAUGUGUAAGUAACUGUGCACAUCUUGACGGUACCUAAUCAGAAAGCCACGGCUAACUACGUGCCAGCAGCCGCGGUAAUACGUAGGUGGCAAGCGUUAUCCGGAAUUAUUGGGCGUAAAGCGCGCGUAGGCGGUUUCUUAAGUCUGAUGUGAAAGCCCACGGCUCAACCGUGGAGGGUCAUUGGAAACUGGGAAACUUGAGUACAGAAGAGGAAAGUGGAAUUCCAUGUGUAGCGGUGAAAUGCGCAGAGAUAUGGAGGAACACCAGUGGCGAAGGCGACUUUCUGGUCUGUAACUGACGCUGAUGUGCG